CCUACGGGAGGCAGCAGUGGGGAAUCUUGCGCAAUGGGCGAAAGCCUGACGCAGCAACGCCGCGUGCGGGAAGAAGGCCUUAGGGUUGUAAACCGCUUUCAGUAGGAACGAAAAUGACGGUACCUGCAGAAGAAGGUGCGGCCAACUACGUGCCAGCAGCCGCGGUGACACGUAGGCACCAAGCGUUGUCCGGAUUUAUUGGGCGUAAAGAGCUCGUAGGCGGUUCAGUAAGUCGGGUGUGAAAACUCUGGGCUUAACCCAGAGCCGCCACUCGAUACUGCUGUGACUUGAGUUCGGUAGGGGAGCAGGGAAUUCCUAGUGUAGCGGUGAAAUGCGCAGAUAUUAGGAGGAACACCGGUGGCGAAGGCGCUGCUCUGGGCCGAUACUGACGCUGAGGAGCGAAAGCGUGGGUAGCAAACAGGAUUAGAUACCCUGGUAGUCCACGCCGUAAACGUUGGGCACUAGGUGUGGGUUCCAACCAACGGAAUCCGCGCCGUCGCUAACGCAUUAAGUGCCCCGCCUGGGGUAGGUACGGCGGCGACGACGUAAACCGUUAAACGUAAGUUAGACGGCGUGAGACGNGCCGAACGGACGACCGACGAGGGAGUAGG
RNAcentral lists this ribosomal RNA (611 nucleotides) under uncultured bacterium. RNAcentral describes it as "bacterial SSU rRNA". The stretch from base 1 to 521 matches the Rfam family "Bacterial small subunit ribosomal RNA", at positions 338 to 873 of the family's 1533-position model. The record is from RNAcentral.